GGGCAUGGCUACGGAGCAGCUCCGGCAAGCACAGCUGGGGUGUGCGGGUUCGAUUCCCGCCGUGCCCUCCA
RNAcentral lists this transfer RNA (71 nucleotides) under Candidatus Faecousia faecavium. RNAcentral describes it as "tRNA-Cys". Lineage: Bacteria; Bacillati; Bacillota; Clostridia; Eubacteriales; Oscillospiraceae. The record is from RNAcentral.